Molecule: ribosomal RNA, 495 nt
Filed under: uncultured Sphingobacteriales bacterium
Lineage: Bacteria; Pseudomonadati; Bacteroidota; Sphingobacteriia; Sphingobacteriales
Description: bacterial SSU rRNA
Rfam family: Bacterial small subunit ribosomal RNA
Source: RNAcentral
GCCAGCCCGCUCAAGAACUAAAGGAAUUGACGGGGCCCGCACAAGCGGUGGAGCAUGUGGUUUAAUUCGAUGAUACGCGAGGAACCUUACCUGGGCUCAAAUGUAUGUUGACGUAUUCUGAAAGGGAUACUUCUUCGGACAAUAUACAAGGUGCUGCAUGGUUGUCGUCAGCUCGUGCCGUGAGGUGUCGGGUUAAGUCCCAUAACGAGCGCAACCCCUAUCAUUAGUUGCCAUCAGGUCAAGCUGGGGACUCUAAUGAAACUGCCUACGCAAGUAGUGAGGAAGGUGGGGAUGACGUCAAAUCAGCACGGCCCUUACGUCCAGGGCUACACACGUGCUACAAUGGCCGGUACAAAGGGCAGCUACCUGGUGACAGGAUGCUAAUCUCAAAAGCCGGUCUCAGUUCGGAUCGGAGUCUGCAACCCGACUCCGUGAAGUUGGAUUCGCUAGUAAUCGCGCAUCAGCCAUGGCGCGGUGAAUACGUUCCCGGGCCUU